AAUGUGAUUUCUGCCCAGUGCUCUGAAUGUCAAAGUGAAGAAAUUCAAGUAAGCGCGGGGUCAACGGCGGGAGUAACUAUGACUCUCUUAAGGUAGCCAAAUGCCUCGUCAUCUAAUUAGUGACGCGCAUGAAUGGAUUAACGAGAUUCCUACUGUCCCUAUCUACUAUCUAGCGAAACCACAGCCAAGGGAACGGGCUUGGAAUAAUUAGCGGGGAAAGAAGACCCUUUUGAGCUUGACUCUAAUCUGGCAGUGUAAGGAGACAUAAGAGGUGUAGAAUAAGUGGGAGAUAUUAGACCUCGGUUUGGUAUCGCCAAUGAAAUACCACUACUCUUAUUGUUUCCUUACUUACUUGAUUAAAUGGAACGUGUAUCAUUUCCUAGCCAUUAUACGGAUAUAUUUAUUAUAUCUUAUGGUAUUGGGGUUUUGAUGCAAGCUUCUUGAUCAAAGUAUCACGAGUUUGUUAUAUAAUCGCAAACAAAUUCUUUAAUAAAAGGAGUGCAUUUAUGUAUUUUUGAUUUGAAAAUUUGGUAUAACUCCAAUUACUCAGGUAUGAUCCAAUUCAAGGACAUUGCCAGGUAGGGAGUUUGACUGGGGCGGUACAUCUCUCAAAUAAUAACGGAGGUGUCCCAAGGCCAGCUCAGUGCGGACAGAAACCACACAUAGAGCAAAAGGGCAAAUGCUGACUUGAUCUCGGUGUUCAGUACACACAGGGACAGCAAAAGCUCGGCCUAUCGAUCCUUUUGGUUUAAAGAGUUUUUAACAAGAGGUGUCAGAAAAGUUACCAUAGGGAUAACUGGCUUGUGGCGGCCAAGCGUUCAUAGCGACGUCGCUUUUUGAUCCUUUGAUGUCGGCUCUUCCUAUCAUUGUGAAGCAAAAUUCACCAAGCGUUGGAUUGUUCACCCAUGCAAGGGAACGUGAGCUGGGUUUAGACCGUCGUGAGACAGGUUAGUUUUACCCUACUAAUGACAAAACGUUGUUGCGACAGCAUUCCUGCGUAGUACGAGAGGAACCGCAGGUACGGACCAAUGGCACAAUACUUGUUCGAGCGAACAGUGGUAUGACGCUACGUCCGUUGGAUUAUGCCUGAACGCCUCUAAGGUCGUAUCCGUGCUGG
RNAcentral lists this ribosomal RNA (1117 nucleotides) under Drosophila elegans. Its description in RNAcentral is "eukaryotic LSU rRNA". It matches the Rfam family "Eukaryotic large subunit ribosomal RNA", at positions 2188 to 3150 of the family's 3401-position model. Lineage: Eukaryota; Metazoa; Arthropoda; Insecta; Diptera; Drosophilidae. The record is from RNAcentral.